CUGCAGCUCAAGUGGUGACCACUAUUAUUGGGCCUAAAACGUUCGUAGCCGGUUUGGUAAAUGCCUGGGUAAAUCGUGUAGCUUAACUAUACGAAUUCCGGGUAGACUGCCAAACUUGAGACCGGGAGAAGCUAGAGGUACUCCUGGGGUAGAGGUGAAAUUCCGUAAUCCUGGGGGGACCACCAGUGGCGAAGGCGUCUAGCUAGAACGGGUCUGACGGUGAGGAACGAAGCCCUGGGGCGCAAACCGGAUUAGAUACCCGAGUAGUCC
This 270-nucleotide ribosomal RNA is filed under the name uncultured archaeon. Its description in RNAcentral is "partial 16S ribosomal RNA". It matches the Rfam family "Archaeal small subunit ribosomal RNA", at positions 477 to 747 of the family's 1478-position model. The record is from RNAcentral.